GAUGAACGCUAGCGGCAGGCCUAACACAUGCAAGUCGAGGGAGAGGUUAUCUUCGGGUAACCAAAACCGGCGCACGGGUGCGUAACGCGUAUACAAUCUGCCUUUCACAUAGGGAUAGCCCGAAGAAAUUUGGAUUAAUACCUAAUGGUAUAUAGGAGCGGCAUCGUUUUUAUAUUAGAGCUACGGUGGUGAAAGAUGAGUAUGCGUUCUAUUAGCUAGUUGGAGAGGUAACGGCUCCCCAAGGCGACGAUAGAUAGGGGUUCUGAGAGGGAUGUCCCCCACACUGGUACUGAGAUACGGACCAGACUCCUACGGGAGGCAGCAGUGAGGAAUAUUGGACAAUGGUCGGAAGACUGAUCCAGCCAUGCCGCGUGCAGGAUGAAGGUCCUAUGGAUUGUAAACUGCUUUUGUAAGGGAAGAAUAAGGAGUACGUGUACUUUGAUGACGGUACCUUACGAAUAAGCAUCGGCUAACUCCGUGCCAGCAGCCGCGGUAAUACGGAGGAUGCGAGCGUUAUCCGGAAUCAUUGGGUUUAAAGGGUCCGUAGGCGGGCUGAUAAGUCAGAGGUGAAAGCGCUUAGCUCAACUAAGCAACUGCCUUUGAAACUGUCAGUCUUGAAUGAUUGUGAAGUAGUUGGAAUGUGUAGUGUAGCGGUGAAAUGCUUAGAUAUUACACAGAACACCGAUAGCGAAGGCAUAUUACUAACAAUUUAUUGACGCUGAUGGACGAAAGCGUGGGGAGCGAACAGG
Molecule: ribosomal RNA, 749 nt
Filed under: uncultured Capnocytophaga sp.
Lineage: Bacteria; Pseudomonadati; Bacteroidota; Flavobacteriia; Flavobacteriales; Flavobacteriaceae
Description: bacterial SSU rRNA
Rfam family: Bacterial small subunit ribosomal RNA
Source: RNAcentral